AAGGAUAAACAUGACAAGGUAUUGUAUAAUUUAAAUGAAUAACAAUUCUUUAUAUUACGAAUUGAUUUGCAAUAAAUAAAAUUAUCAACUUUAAAUUCAACCAACUAAUUAUAUGAUUUUAUUAUCUUGCAGUAAAUCAGACUACAUACAAUAAAUAGGAGAGAUAUAUGGAUCUUAUUCUCAUCGAAGCCAUCCGGUCUGUACUUUGAUAAUUUUCCGAAGAUUUCACCGAAUGAGCGCAUAUAGCCCAUCUUGCGCGCUGUAAACCCAUAAUCGAAUUGUGAAAAAUUCGGUUGAAGAAAUAGGAUAAACACGAAAAGUUAGUUAAUCAAACGACAAUGAACAAAAGGAACAUGGAUCUUAUUCUCAUUGAAGCCCUUCUAUCAGUACCUGGAUAAAGCAUGCUGAUCACAAAUAUUGAUUAAAAUAGGAUAGAGGAAAUCAAUUCGCGAGAAUUGAAGUUUAAAGGUAAAAACAUUGUUCAUAAAAUUAUGUAUUAAAAAUUUAUUAUA
Molecule: long non-coding RNA, 512 nt
Organism: Lutzomyia longipalpis
Lineage: Eukaryota; Metazoa; Arthropoda; Insecta; Diptera; Psychodidae
Exons: 3
Source: RefSeq, a predicted model, not a curated record